GACGAACGCUGGCGGCGUGCCUAAUACAUGCAAGUAGAACGCACAGUUUAUACCGUAGCUUGCUACACCAUACACUGUGAGUUGCGAACGGGUGAGUAACGCGUAGGUAACCUGCCUGGUAGCGGGGGAUAACUAUUGGAAACGAUAGCUAAUACCGCAUAAUAUUGAUUAUUGCAUGAUAAUUGAUUGAAAGAUGCUAUUGCAUCACUACCAGAUGGACCUGCGUUGUAUUAGCUAGUAGGUGAGGUAACGGCUCACCUAGGCGACGAUACAUAGCCGACCUGAGAGGGUGAUCGGCCACACUGGGACUGAGACACGGCCCAGACUCCUACGGGAGGCAGCAGUAGGGAAUCUUCGGCAAUGGACGAAAGUCUGACCGAGCAACGCCGCGUGAGUGAAGAAGGUUUUCGGAUCGUAAAGCUCUGUUGUAAGAGAAGAACGGGUGUGAGAGUGGAAAGUUCACACUGUGACGGUAUCUUACCGGAAAGGGACGGCUAACUACGUG
This 505-nucleotide ribosomal RNA is filed under the name uncultured bacterium. RNAcentral's name for it is "partial 16S ribosomal RNA". It matches the Rfam family "Bacterial small subunit ribosomal RNA", at positions 28 to 507 of the family's 1533-position model. The record is from RNAcentral.